AUGUCUGGGAAACUGCCUGAUGGAGGGGGAUAACUACUGGAAACGGUAGCUAAUACCGCAUAACGUCACAAGACCAGAGAGGGGGACCUUCGGGCCUCUUGCCAUCGGAUGUGCCCAGAUGGGAUUAGCUUGUUGGUGGGGUAACGGCUCACCAAGGCGACGAUCCCUAGCUGGUCUGAGAGGAUGACCAGCCACACUGGAACUGAGACACGGUCCAUACUCCUACCGGAGGCAGCAGUGGGGAAUAUUGCACAAUGGGCGCAAGCCUGAUGCACCCAUGCCGCGUGUAUGAAGAAGGCCUUCUGGUUGUAAAGUACUUUCAGCGGGGAGGAAGGGAGUAAAGUUAAUACCUUUACUCAUUGACGUUACCCGCAGAAGAAGCACCGGCUAACUCCGUGCCAGCAGCCGCGGUAAUACGGAGGGUGCAAGCGUUAAUCGGAAUUACUGGGCGUAAAGCGCACGCAUGCGGUUUGUUAARUCAGAUGUGAAAUCCCCGGGCUCAACCUGUGAACUGCAUCUGAUACUGGCAAGCUUGAGUCUCGGAGAGGGGGGGUAGAAUUCGAGGUGUAGCGGUGAAAUGCUUAGAGAUCUGGAAGGAAUACCGGGUGGCGAAACGCCCCCCCCUGGAACAAAAACUGACGCUCAGGUGCGAAAGCGUGGGGAACAAACUAGAUUAAAU
This 679-nucleotide ribosomal RNA is filed under the name Escherichia coli. RNAcentral's name for it is "bacterial SSU rRNA". The record is from RNAcentral. Lineage: Bacteria; Pseudomonadati; Pseudomonadota; Gammaproteobacteria; Enterobacterales; Enterobacteriaceae.